GCAGCUCAAUUGGCAGAGCAUGUGGCAUUUAAGCCCAUGGUUGUGGGUUCAAGCCCCAAGUUGAGCUGCA
Non-coding RNA from Podarcis lilfordi (Lilford's wall lizard), 70 nucleotides. The record is from the annotation of a GenBank genome assembly. Lineage: Eukaryota; Metazoa; Chordata; Lepidosauria; Squamata; Lacertidae.